ACUCAAAUGAAUAGACGGGGACCCGCACAAGCGGUGGAUGAUGUGGAUUAAUUCGAUGCAACGCGAAAAACCUUACCUACCCUUGACAUGUCAAGAAUUUCGCAGAGAUGUGGAAGUACUCGCAAGAGAACUUGAGCACAGGUGCUGCAUGGCUGUCGUCAGCUCGUGUCGUGAGAUAUUGGGUUAAGUCCCGCAACGAGCGCAACCCUUAUCAUUAGUUGCUACGUAAAAGAGCACUCUAAUGAGACUGCCGGUGACAAACCGGAGGAAGGCGGGGAUGACGUCAAGUCCUCAUGGCCCUUAUGGGUAGGGCUUCACACGUCAUACAAUGGUGCAUACAAAGGGAAGCCAACCCGUGAGGGGGAGCCGAUCUCAGAAAAUGCAUCGUAGUCCGGAUUGCACUCUGCAACUCGAGUGCAUGAAGUUGGAAUCGCUAGUAAUCGCAGAUCAGCAUGCUGCGGUGAAUACGUUCCCGGGUCUUGUACACACCGCCCGU
Molecule: ribosomal RNA, 496 nt
Filed under: uncultured bacterium
Lineage: Bacteria
Description: partial 16S ribosomal RNA
Rfam family: Bacterial small subunit ribosomal RNA
Source: RNAcentral